Molecule: ribosomal RNA, 1049 nt
Filed under: Leifsonia sp. MC3_18
Lineage: Bacteria; Bacillati; Actinomycetota; Actinomycetes; Micrococcales; Microbacteriaceae
Description: bacterial SSU rRNA
Rfam family: Bacterial small subunit ribosomal RNA
Source: RNAcentral
CUGAUGCAGCAACGCCGCGUGAGGGACGACGGCCUUCGGGGUUGUAAACCUCUUUUAGUAGGGAAGAAGCGAAAGUGACGGUACCUGCAGAAAAAGCACCGGCUAACUACGUGCCAGCAGCCGCGGUAAUACGUAGGGUGCGAGCGUUGUCCGGAAUUAUUGGGCGUAAAGAGCUCGUAGGCGGUCUGUCGCGUCUGCUGUGAAAACCCGAGGCUCAACCUCGGGCCUGCAGUGGGUACGGGCAGACUAGAGUGCGGUAGGGGAGAAUGGAAUUCCUGGUGUAGCGGUGGAAUGCGCAGAUAUCAGGAGGAACACCGAUGGCGAAGGCAGUUCUCUGGGCCGUAACUGACGCUGAGGAGCGAAAGCGUGGGGAGCGAACAGGAUUAGAUACCCUGGUAGUCCACGCCGUAAACGUUGGGCGCUAGAUGUGGGGACCAUUCCACGGUUUCCGUGUCGCAGCUAACGCAUUAAGCGCCCCGCCUGGGGAGUACGGCCGCAAGGCUAAAACUCAAAGGAAUUGACGGGGGCCCGCACAAGCGGCGGAGCAUGCGGAUUAAUUCGAUGCAACGCGAAGAACCUUACCAAGGCUUGACAUACACGAGAACGCCCUAGAAAUAGGGAACUCUUUGGACACUCGUGAACAGGUGGUGCAUGGUUGUCGUCAGCUCGUGUCGUGAGAUGUUGGGUUAAGUCCCGCAACGAGCGCAACCCUCGUUCUAUGUUGCCAGCGCGUAAUGGCGGGAACUCAUAGGAGACUGCCGGGGUCAACUCGGAGGAAGGUGGGGAUGACGUCAAAUCAUCAUGCCCCUUAUGUCUUGGGCUUCACGCAUGCUACAAUGGCCGGUACAAAGGGCUGCAAUACCGUAAGGUGGAGCGAAUCCCAAAAAGCCGGUCUCAGUUCGGAUUGAGGUCUGCAACUCGACCUCAUGAAGUCGGAGUCGCUAGUAAUCGCAGAUCAGCAACGCUGCGGUGAAUACGUUCCCGGGCCUUGUACACACCGCCCGUCAAGUCAUGAAAGUCGGUAACACCCGAAGCCGGUGGCCCAACCC